GUGGGGAAUAUUGGACAAUGGGCGAAAGCCUGAUCCAGCAAUGCCGCGUGAGUGAUGAAGGCCCUAGGGUUGUAAAGCUCUUUUACCAGGGAUGAUAAUGACAGUACCUGGAGAAUAAGCUCCGGCUAACUCCGUGCCAGCAGCCGCGGUAAUACGGAGGGAGCUAGCGUUGUUCGGAAUUACUGGGCGUAAAGCGCGCGUAGGCGGUUUUUUAAGUCAGAGUUGAAAGCCCGGGGCUCAACCCCGGAAUUGCCUUUGAAACUGGAAAACUUGAAUCUUGGAGAGGUCAGUGGAAUUCCGAGUGUAGAGGUGAAAUUCGUAGAUAUUCGGAAGAACACCAGUGGCGAAGGCGACUGACUGGACAAGUAUUGACGCUGAGGUGCGAAAGCGUGGGGAGCAAACAGGAUUAGAAACCCCAGUAGUCC
This 425-nucleotide ribosomal RNA is filed under the name uncultured bacterium. RNAcentral's name for it is "partial 16S ribosomal RNA". It matches the Rfam family "Bacterial small subunit ribosomal RNA", at positions 354 to 796 of the family's 1533-position model. The record is from RNAcentral.